Molecule: ribosomal RNA, 216 nt
Filed under: Glomeromycotina sp.
Lineage: Eukaryota; Fungi; Glomeromycota
Description: partial small subunit ribosomal RNA
Rfam family: Eukaryotic small subunit ribosomal RNA (bases 46-216)
Source: RNAcentral
GGGUCAUUAGGUUGGUCGUGCCACCGGUACGUACUGGUCUCACCGAUUCCUCCUUCCUGAAGAACCGUAAUGCCAUUAAUUUGGUGUUGCGGGGAAACAGGACUGUUACUUUGAAAAAAUUAGAGUGUUUAAAGCAAGCUAACGCUUGAAUACAUUAGCAUGGAAUAAUGAAAUAGGACGAUCGAUCCUAUUUUGUUGGUUUCUAGGAUUGACGUA